CUCCCUUAUUCCCAAUUUCCAUUACUCCAACUCCAACGUCUGCGGUUUUGACCCAAGCAAUAUUCUCAGUGACAUCUUCGCGCACGAAGACCAUAACAGCAGUCGUUCCCGCAUUUUUUGUUAUGACAUUCUCGUAGCGCUGUUCCCCAGCUGCAAUGCUCACGGAACAACGAAAGGCAUGGAAGUACGGAUCUAGGAACGAGCCCCCGAGAAAUGCGUAGGCGAUCGGUGCAAUUUCCUGUAGUGAUAAGACAAGAAUCUCGGGUAGCUCCCUGGACUGAGGCCGUGCUUUGGGGAGGACUCUGAAGAGGUGGGCUGCGAAUGAGUCGUGCUGAAUCAAAUUCCGGGCGCAAUUAAA
Molecule: small RNA, 358 nt
Filed under: Histoplasma capsulatum var. duboisii H88
Lineage: Eukaryota; Fungi; Ascomycota; Eurotiomycetes; Onygenales; Ajellomycetaceae
Description: Histoplasma capsulatum H88 hypothetical RNA
Source: RNAcentral